UCACUUACCUGGCAGGGGAGAAACCAUGAUGAGGAAGGUGGUUUUCCCAGGGUGAGGCUUAUCCAUUGCACUCCGGAUGUGCUGACCCCUGAGAUUUUCCCUAACGUGGGAAGCUCGACUGCAUAAUUUGUGGUAGGUAGUAGGGACUGCGUUCUCACUCUCCCCUG
Small nuclear RNA from Echinops telfairi (small Madagascar hedgehog), 167 nucleotides. Its record names the gene U1. It matches the Rfam family "U1 spliceosomal RNA". Rfam says of the family: U1 is a small nuclear RNA (snRNA) component of the spliceosome (involved in pre-mRNA splicing). Its 5' end forms complementary base pairs with the 5' splice junction, thus defining the 5' donor site of an intron. The record is from Ensembl. Lineage: Eukaryota; Metazoa; Chordata; Mammalia; Afrosoricida; Tenrecidae.